RNAcentral lists this transfer RNA (71 nucleotides) under Insectozyma chauliodis. RNAcentral's name for it is "Candida chauliodis tRNA-Met". It matches the Rfam family "tRNA". From Rfam's summary of the family: Transfer RNA (tRNA) molecules are approximately 80 nucleotides in length. Their secondary structure includes four short double-helical elements and three loops (D, anti-codon, and T loops). Further hydrogen bonds mediate the characteristic L-shaped molecular structure. tRNAs have two regions of fundamental functional importance: the anti-codon, which is responsible for specific mRNA codon recognition, and the 3' end, to which the tRNAs corresponding amino acid is attached (by aminoacyl-tRNA synthetases). tRNAs cope with the degeneracy of the genetic code in two manners: having more than one tRNA (with a specific anti-codon) for a particular amino acid; and 'wobble' base-pairing, i.e. permitting non-standard base-pairing at the 3rd anti-codon position. The record is from RNAcentral. Lineage: Eukaryota; Fungi; Ascomycota; Pichiomycetes; Serinales; Debaryomycetaceae.
UGAACUAUAGCUCAACGGUAGAGCGAGCCACUCAUAAUGGCUAUACCUCAGUUCAACUCUGAGUAGUUCAA